UAGUCCACGCCCUAAACGAUGCUUACUCGAUAUUCCGGCUUUAAGUUGGAGUGUCCAAGGGAAACCGAUAAGUAAGCCACCUGGGGAGUACGUUCGCAAGAAUGAAACUCAAAGGAAUUGACGGGGGUCCGCACAAGCGGUGGAGCAUGUGAUUUAAUUCGAUGAUACGCGAGGAACCUUACCAGGGCUUAAAUGUAGAUUGACAGGUUUAGAGAUAGACUUUUCUUCGGACAAUUUACAAGGUGCUGCAUGGUUGUCGUCAGCUCGUGCCGUGAGGUGUCAGGUUAAGUCCUAUAACGAGCGCAACCCCUGUUGUUAGUUGCCAGCACGUAAUGGUGGGGACUCUAAGGAGACUGCCGGCGUAAGCCGUGAGGAAGGUGGGGACGACGUCAAGUCAUCAUGGCCUUUAUGCCCAGGGCUACACACGUGCUACAAUGGUGCAUACAGAGGGCAGCGACACUGCGAAGUGAAGCGAAUCUCAGAAAGUGCAUCUCAGUUCGGAUCGG
This 506-nucleotide ribosomal RNA is filed under the name uncultured bacterium. RNAcentral describes it as "bacterial SSU rRNA". It matches the Rfam family "Bacterial small subunit ribosomal RNA", at positions 791 to 1301 of the family's 1533-position model. The record is from RNAcentral.